UGCCUUCGUCGAGCCUUUAUCACUGUCGCACCUUAUUCCCAUUGCCAUCAGGGGUUUGCUGCUGCUGCCAUUGAGAGAGUCGCCGCUGGGGGGGCCGAAUAGGGAAAUGAGGUCCCCAUCGAUGUGGUCACAGAAAGGGAGAAACGGAUGCGCAUGAGAGAGUGACGCAGCAGAGGAGGAGUCGUUCCUCUAUCGCUGUUGUUGCCGGAAAUCUUGGUUGCUGCCGUCGUUCAUGCUGAAGCUUGUCACCGGAGAAGACAAGCUGCUGUGCCAUCCCCUUCGUUCUAACACCGAACCUCCCAUUUGUAACCUUCACUGCUAUGUUCUGCCGGAAAUGUCGAAAUGGUUGCUGCAAGUGUGAUCAUAGUUGGUGCUGCUGUCUCUGUCCCGGUUAGGUUGGAAUUAUCACUGCUGCUGCCAUGAGUUGGGGAUAAAGGGGCUUUUUCACUACAAGAU
Non-coding RNA from Arachis ipaensis, 456 nucleotides. The record is from RefSeq and is a predicted model, not a curated record. NCBI's taxonomy places the organism in Eukaryota, Viridiplantae, Streptophyta, Magnoliopsida, Fabales, Fabaceae.